GCCUUCAUGGUGUAACAGUAGCACACUCGUCGCGUAUUCGAGAGGUCCAGGUUCGAGUCCCGGCGAGGACA
Molecule: transfer RNA, 71 nt
Filed under: Stegodyphus mimosarum
Lineage: Eukaryota; Metazoa; Arthropoda; Arachnida; Araneae; Eresidae
Rfam family: tRNA
About the family: Transfer RNA (tRNA) molecules are approximately 80 nucleotides in length. Their secondary structure includes four short double-helical elements and three loops (D, anti-codon, and T loops).
Source: Rfam by way of RNAcentral